GAAUACGAAUGCUGUGCUAUUAACAACCUGAACAAACCUCCAUUUUGUAAGAGUAUCUUGGUAACCGUCCAGUGUGAGUCUAACUGCUUUUUUUAAGCUAAAAUGAAGGGGUGAGGGAAGCUGCAAGAUGAGCCACAAAUAGAUGUAUUUCAGUCAAAUGACACAGUUUCUUCAUAUAAUGAUGGUAAAAUCAGGGUAUACUGUUUGGCCCAUGGCGUGCCCUAUCCUCAGUUCACGUGGUAUGAUCCCCAUAAUCAAUCAAUAUCUACAGGAUCUCAUACUGUUACUGCAUGGUGUUGGUGUCUUGGAACUAGUAACCAUUGACGCAGACAGCUAUGGAUUGUACAAAUGUAAAGCAGAAAAUUUACUUGGUUAUGAUGAACACAUUAUCAAUGUCACCCAAACAGCUCUUCCUACUUCUACGGUACCAUCGGAAAAUAAACGCCAUGCAAAAGGCUCAAUAUCAAGAGCUAACCGAGUCCAUCCACCCUCUCUGAUGCCAAGUAG
RNAcentral lists this long non-coding RNA (507 nucleotides) under Actinia tenebrosa (Australian red waratah sea anemone). RNAcentral describes it as "uncharacterized LOC116291123, transcript variant X2". The record is from RNAcentral. Lineage: Eukaryota; Metazoa; Cnidaria; Anthozoa; Actiniaria; Actiniidae.